GAACGCUGGCGGCGUGCUUAACACAUGCAAGUCGAACGGAACAUUCCACCCGAUGAUUGAGAAAGCUUGCUUUUGAUUGAAUCAACCGGAAUGUUUAGUGGCGGACGGGUGAGUAACGCGUGGGUAACCUACCUUACACAGGGGGAUAACAGUUAGAAAUGACUGCUAAUACCGCAUAAGCGCACAGUACCGCAUGGUACAGUGUGAAAAACUCCGGUGGUGUAAGAUGGACCCGCGUCUGAUUAGCUAGUUGGUGAGGUAACGGCCCACCAAGGCGACGAUCAGUAGCCGGCCUGAGAGGGUGAACGGCCACAUUGGAACUGAGACACGGUCCAAACUCCUACGGGAGGCAGCAGUGGGGAAUAUUGCACAAUGGGGGAAACCCUGAUGCAGCGACGCCGCGUGAGUGAAGAAGUAUUUCGGUAUGUAAAGCUCUAUCAGCAGGGAAGAUCAUGACGGUACCUGACUAAGAAGCUCCGGCUAAAUACGUGCC
This 493-nucleotide ribosomal RNA is filed under the name uncultured organism. RNAcentral describes it as "SSU rRNA". It matches the Rfam family "Bacterial small subunit ribosomal RNA", at positions 31 to 509 of the family's 1533-position model. The record is from RNAcentral.